GGAUUGCCUGGUUUGAGGGAUAUUGGCAGCACUCCUGGGGAUUGUUUAUAAAUAAAGGAAAAAGGUUUCUCAAUUCCAAAGUUCCUUGUACAAUCUAUCCUAAUCCCCCUGAUCGCUUCUAAUAAUUCCAAAUUGCGCAGAUAUAAAUGUGAAUCAUAAAGUGCAGUGCAGGGCAGUGCUGCAUAGCCUCAAAGAAGGA
RNAcentral lists this long non-coding RNA (199 nucleotides) under Theobroma cacao (cacao). Its description in RNAcentral is "long non-coding RNA (TCAC_LNC002069)". Lineage: Eukaryota; Viridiplantae; Streptophyta; Magnoliopsida; Malvales; Malvaceae. The record is from RNAcentral.